GGGAAUCUGCCCUUUGGUUCGGAAUAACAGUUGGAAACGACUGCUAAUACCGGAUGAUGACGAAAGUCCAAAGAUUUAUCGCCAGAGGAUGAGCCCGCGUAGGAUUAGCUAGUUGGUGUGGUAAAGGCGCACCAAGGCGACGAUCCUUAGCUGGUCUGAGAGGAUGAUCAGCCACACUGGGACUGAGACACGGCCCAGACUCCUACGGGAGGCAGCAGUGGGGAAUAUUGGACAAUGGGCGAAAGCCUGAUCCAGCAAUGCCGCGUGAGUGAUGAAGGCCUUAGGGUUGUAAAGCUCUUUUACCCGGGAUGAUAAUGACAGUACCGGGAGAAUAAGCUCCGGCUAACUCCGUGCCAGCAGCCGCGGUAAUACGGAGGGAGCUAGCGUUGUUCGGAAUUACUGGGCGUAAAGCGCACGUAGGCGGCUUUGUAAGUUAGAGGUGAAAGCCUGGAGCUCAACUCCAGAACUGCCUUUAAGACCGCAUCGCUUGAAUCCAGGAGAGGUGAGUGGAAUUCCGAGU
RNAcentral lists this ribosomal RNA (520 nucleotides) under uncultured bacterium. RNAcentral describes it as "bacterial SSU rRNA". It matches the Rfam family "Bacterial small subunit ribosomal RNA", at positions 120 to 674 of the family's 1533-position model. The record is from RNAcentral.